GAGAGAAGUUGUGUCCACAGUUAAAGCCCACGAGCAAUUUAAAUCAUAUUCUUUGGCGAAACUGGUGGGCAUCUUGAAAUCUCAGGAGAAGAUCGUGUUGCAGGAGAAGAAUGUAGUUUCAAGCCUAGGUUCGUUGGCCCUCCUGUCCAAAAGCAAAGCGGUGAUGGAUGAAGAAGACCUCAACUUGGAGGACUAUGACCUCACUUCUGAGGACUAUGCUAUGAUGGUGUCAAACCCCAAGAGGUUNCCCCAAGAGGUUCAUCAAAAAGAGAUUCUCCUCUAACAAAAACCGAAACUGGCAGGGGAGUUACAGCUCAGAAAAGGUUAAAGAUGAACCGAAGGUUGAAGAGUCUAAGAAGGAACCGAAGGCUGAGGGUGAUUCUGGAGUAAGCUGCUACUAUUGUGGAGGAAAGAACCACUAUGCGAAGGAUUGUGUCCUCAAAAAGAUGGCUGAAAAGGAUGAGGACAAGGAUGAAGAAGCUUUGCUGCAGAAAAAGCUUGAUGAGAUCAGAAAGAAGAAGUCUACCGCUAACCCUUCUAUGAAUGAUCUAAUUGUGCAAGGUUCGGUUGCUGAUGAUGAGUUUGGUGGCGUGGAGNUACUUCAAGGAUUAUUAAAACUCAAAAGGAGUACAAUGAUAUUCUGAAAGAUGUUAAAGAUAUUGCGCAAGAUGAAAAAGAUAAAUUUCAGUGCAAUAUCAAGGCGUUAAGAUUGAUCAGAUUCGCCCUUCAGUCCGACACUUUCAGGCUGGUGAGUUCAUGCACGACGACAAAAGAGAUAUCGGACAGGCUACGUGAAUUGUACUCUACAGACGUAGACCUUGAACACUCCAUUCAAACCUUACUCUCGUCUGAGUUUGGUGAAUUCAAGCAAGGAGCCGAAGAAACUAUGACCCAAACAUUCGAUCGCUUCAAUCAUCUUCUUAGAAAGAUGAUCAAACAUGACAUCGAAAGGAAGCUUAUUGAGCAGAAGGUUACGUUCUUAAAUGGUCUUAGAUCAGAGUGGAGAGAAGUUGUGUCCACAGUUAAAGCCCACGAGCAAUUUAAAUCAUAUUCUUUGGCGAAACUGGUGGGCAUCUUGAAAUCUCAGGAGAAGAUCGUGUUGCAGGAGAAGAAUGUGGUUUCAAGCCUAGGUUCGUUGGCCCUCCUGUCCAAAANGUAAAGUUGUGAUGGAGGAUGAAGACCUUAACUUGGAGGAGUAUGACCUCACGUCUGAGGAUUAUGCUAUGAUGCUGUCUAACCCCAAGAGGUUCAUCAAAAAGAGAUUCUCCUCUAACAAAAACCGAAACUGGCAGGGGAGUUACAGCUCAGAAAAGGUUAAAGAUGAACCGAAGGUUGAAGAGUCUAAGAAGGAACCGAAGGCAGAAGGUGAUUCUGGAGUAAGCUGCUACUAU
RNAcentral lists this long non-coding RNA (1391 nucleotides) under Lactuca sativa (garden lettuce). RNAcentral's name for it is "long non-coding RNA (LSAT_LNC007375)". The record is from RNAcentral. Lineage: Eukaryota; Viridiplantae; Streptophyta; Magnoliopsida; Asterales; Asteraceae.